CUCUCAAACUCAUAAGUUAUGUCACAAGUUGACAUCUCCUACAUAGAUCUAUUUAUUUCCUAAACACAUUAAACAAAGCUUAUCUAGAUAACUCCUAGAUAGUAUGUGUUUCCUAUUUCAAUUAGAAUUAGGUUAGCUUGGGAAUCAAGCUAACUUCAAGAUUAUCUUCAACAAGCGAGCACAAACAAAAUGCCAAUGAAAAAGAGACUGGAGCUGUAGACUUGCAACAAAUCAGAACACAACUGCUGCAACAACUGACGCUAUAAUAAACACUAAGAUCAGCACGAUUUUGAAGAAAGCAAACCCAAUUCGCCAGCUAGCAACGAUGGAGAUGAAAGUGAUACAUGGAGUGAUGCGUAAAUACCCUUUUCAAUAAAGAUUCCAAUUCACCUUUGUUAUUUACUUUCUGCAAGCAUUUUUAUUGUACCAUAACUAA
Brassica oleracea var. oleracea is the source of this 436-nucleotide long non-coding RNA. RefSeq lists it as uncharacterized. Lineage: Eukaryota; Viridiplantae; Streptophyta; Magnoliopsida; Brassicales; Brassicaceae. The record is from RefSeq and is a predicted model, not a curated record. The transcript has 3 exons.